AGUAGUGGGCCUGCUGGGUGCCUGGGUGCAUUGGUUUGGGCUAUUAAACCUAUGGCUCCUAUGGGGGCCGAAUCGACUCGUUUCGGUCUGAGUUGAGUUCUUUCAAAAAUUGAAAACAAUCCAAAUUAGGCCGGAUCGGUCGAAUCAACUCCUCUACUCCCGAGUUCGAUCAUGAGUUAAAUUCAUUGGGUGGAAAUUGGGUGGAGGAAUCGACCGAUUAGAAUUGGAUCGAAAUUGCCUGGCCCCGAUCCCGAUCCCGAUCCCGAUACACUUUCCACUUUCCCCUGUGUUUUGAAAUCUUCCUCCAAAUUCAAGGCAUCGAGAGAAGGGAGAAGGCCUAGUUGCUUGUCAGAUGUUCGAAGUAAUGUCUGACAGAGGAGUCAUUACUUGGAAUGCUAUGUUUGCGGGUUACUCUUGAGAGUGGGUGCUGGAAGAAGUUGUGAAAUUGUUUCAUGGAAUGUUAAGUCUGAUAUUGGGUUUGAUGAUGCUACUAUCAUUCGCAGCCUGACGGAUUGCAGGAGGUUGGGGAACUUGGAAUUGAGGGAAUGGAUAAAUUAGUCUCUAGAGCCAAAGGGUUUAAAGGAAAAUCUUAUUUUGAUCACUUCUCUUGUUGAUAUGCACUAAAAAUGUGGAACCCAAUGAGAUUACUUUGGCCGGUAUUAUUUCUUCUUGUGCCGUCCUGGGAGCUCUUGAAACGGGAAAAUGGGUCCAUUCCUUCACAAAGAGGAAGAGAUUGGAGCUCCAAGUUAUGCCUGAGACCGCACUAGUGGACUUCAAUGAUAAUGCGGAUCUAUGGAGCAUUCACUUGAAGUGUUUGAAGAGAUGCCUUCUUGGAAUGUCUUGUCCUGGACACUACUAAUCCAAGGUAAUGCUAGCAAUGGACAGGGAGGAAAGGCCCUUGAUUUAUUCUCUUUGAUGCAGAAGCAUAGUAUUGAACCAAAUGCCGUGAUCACUUUGUCUAUAGGUGUCCUCUCUGUUUGUAGUCUUGCUGGUCUUAUUGAUGUGGGUCGGGGUCAUCUGUUAUUAUGAGCAGAGACUAGAGCAUUGAGCCAAGGAUUGACCACAAUGGCUGCACGUACGGUUGUUUUUCUUGGCCGAUGGUUUGAUGGAAGAGGCUGGCGUCUCACGUUAUUAAGAACAUCACAAUUGGACGUUACACCAUCAUCUAGAGAGCACUCUUGGCUCAUGUAUGGUUCAUAAAAACCUUCAAAUUGAGGAAGAAUCUGUGAAACAAUUGGUAGACUGGACCCUGCACAUAGUGGGUAUUGCAUUCUCUUAUCAAAUAUUUAUGCAUCAGUAGGCUGGUGGGACUCCGAGGAUGCAUGAAGAGUAAGGAGUCAGAUGAAAGAAAAGGGAAUCAAGAAGACACCAGGGUGUAGCUCAAUUGAGUUGGAUGGAGUGAUCCAUGAAUCUACAAUCAAAGAAGGUUUAUGGUGCAGUUGAGGACCUGAUUAGGCAAAUCUGCAAGUUAUGUGCUCAAAUACAGUGAUGGGGAAGAAGCAUUAAUUGGCAUCUCACCAUAGUAUGUAAUAGAGAAAUUCUUGUCAGAGAUUGCCAUAGUUUUCAUCAUUUCAAAUAAGGCUUAUGUUCUUGCUACAACUACAACUACUGGUAGGCUGUUUCUAUGGUUUCGUCUGAUAAGAUGUUCUUGUAGAAUCAAAGAGGCUUGAUGGCAUUGGAAAAGUUCAAUCCUGUUUCAAGCAUUACAUUUCAUAAGCGCAUAGGAUGAUCUACCAUUUGAUGUCUCACAUCAAGGAAAGUUACUAUGUUGGUCUAAUGUGUUGUCCUGCAUAUUCUACUUCAUGUUCUACCAGAAAAAAAAAUUCUUAGGAUUCAAUGUCUUGUAACUCUUGUUGGUUCA
Long non-coding RNA from Macadamia integrifolia, 1861 nucleotides. RefSeq lists it as uncharacterized. The transcript is spliced from 2 exons. The record is from RefSeq and is a predicted model, not a curated record. NCBI's taxonomy places the organism in Eukaryota, Viridiplantae, Streptophyta, Magnoliopsida, Proteales, Proteaceae.